RNAcentral lists this ribosomal RNA (253 nucleotides) under uncultured bacterium. RNAcentral's name for it is "partial 16S ribosomal RNA". It matches the Rfam family "Bacterial small subunit ribosomal RNA", at positions 524 to 776 of the family's 1533-position model. The record is from RNAcentral.
GACGAGCUCUCCAAACGUUAUUCGGUAUCACUGGGCUUAAAGAGUUCGUAGGCGGCUUUGUAGGUGGGGUGUGAAAGCCCUCGGCUCAACCGAGGAACUGCGCUCCAAACCGUAAGGCUUGAGGGGUAUAGGGGUAAGCGGAACAGAUGGUGGAGCGGUGAAAUGCAUUGAUAUCAUCUGGAACACCGGUGGCGAAAGCGGCUUACUGGAUACUUUCUGACGCUGAGGAACGAAAGCUAGGGUAGCGAACGGG